CAGCCGUAAACAAUGUGCGUUAGGUGUGUCGGUAACCACGCGUUACUGAUGCGCCGAAGAGAAAUCGUGAAACGCACCACCUGGGAAGUACGGUCGCAAGGCUGAAACUUAAAGGAAUUGGCGGGGGGAGCACCACAACAGGUGGAGCCUGCGGUUUAAUUGGAUUCAACGCCGGAAAUCUCACCGGAUAGGACAGACAUAUGAUAGUCGGGCUGAAGACUCUACUUGAUGAUCUGAGAGGAGGUGCAUGGCGUCAGUGACU
Molecule: ribosomal RNA, 262 nt
Filed under: uncultured archaeon
Lineage: Archaea
Description: partial 16S ribosomal RNA
Rfam family: Archaeal small subunit ribosomal RNA
Source: RNAcentral